Molecule: unclassified non-coding RNA, 307 nt
Filed under: Hevea brasiliensis (rubber tree)
Lineage: Eukaryota; Viridiplantae; Streptophyta; Magnoliopsida; Malpighiales; Euphorbiaceae
Source: RNAcentral
AUGUAAAGGUGGUGAAAAAAAUUAUCUCAUACUGCCCAGAUUGCAGCGACCUGGUUGACAACAGAGGCCGAAAUGUUCUUCAUUUUGCUGUGGAAGGCGAUAGUUGAGAAGGACUCAGAACUUUAAUUGAAAAACCUUUCCUCGCUAACCUAAUUAAUCAGAAAGAUGAAGAUGGGAACACUCCGAUCCAUCUACUCGCUACUCAUGACUUUUAUGCUAGUAAUCUUAUACAACACCACACAGUUGAUAAAAUGAUCGUCAACAAAGAAAAUUUAACCGCUCUACGUGGUGGUAGCAACGAAGAAUG